RNAcentral lists this ribosomal RNA (468 nucleotides) under uncultured bacterium. RNAcentral describes it as "partial 16S ribosomal RNA". It matches the Rfam family "Bacterial small subunit ribosomal RNA", at positions 28 to 507 of the family's 1533-position model. The record is from RNAcentral.
GACGAACGCUGGCGGCGUGCUUAACACAUGCAAGUCGAACGGAAAGGCCCUGCUUUUGUGGGGUGCUCGAGUGGCGAGCGGGUGAGUAACACGUGAGUAACCUGCCCUUGACUCUGGGAUAACUUCAGGAAACUGGGGCUAAUACCGGAUAGGAGCUCCUGCUGCAUGGUGGGGGUUGGAAAGUUUCGGCGGUUGGGGAUGGACUCGCGGCUUAUCAGCUUGUUGGUGGGGUAGUGGCUUACCAAGGCUUUGACGGGUAGCCGGCCUGAGAGGGUGACCGGCCACAUUGGGACUGAGAUACGGCCCAGACUCCUACGGGAGGCAGCAGUGGGGAAUAUUGCACAAUGGGCGGAAGCCUGAUGCAGCAACGCCGCGUGCGGGAUGACGGCCUUCGGGUUGUAAACCGCUUUCGCCUGUGACGAAGCGUGAGUGACGGUAAUGGGUAAAGAAGCACCGGCUAACUACGUG